Ictalurus punctatus (channel catfish) is the source of this 1376-nucleotide long non-coding RNA. Lineage: Eukaryota; Metazoa; Chordata; Actinopteri; Siluriformes; Ictaluridae. The record is from Ensembl.
UUUUGGUGUAAAUGCAUUUGUUGCGUAAAUCCUUUUCCCCAACUAACAAAAUAGUGCAACAUAUUUUGGGGAGAGAAGGCUAAUUACUCAAUCUGUAUAAUUUAUGUAAUGUCUAUGAUUGUCUCUGCAUCAGCUACAAAAAAAACCCCAAACUGCAUCAACAUCACAAACUUCCUAAAGGUUAAACAAUCUACCAAGUGUGUAUCACUCAAGUGAUAUCUGCAGACCACACCUGCAUGAUGAAAAUGAUUAUAUUCAAAAUAGCGUAGAUCAUUUAAGUUCAUACUGUGGUUGAUCUGCCAGGGGGAAAACAACAGGUGUAAUGCAUCUGUUUAAUGACUAAACAGCUACAAUAGUGGUGUCAGACUCCAGCGCUGAGGAGAGAAAAGGACAGACCAGUGUCUGCUAGAUAAGUAAACCUGCACUGCCACCUAGAGCAAGAAGAAUUGCACAGGGAACGCUGAUGUAGAGCCACCAAGAUUGAGUUAAUCAAUGUAUUAUUUGAUCUAUAUACACUACCAGUCAAAAGUGUGGAGACACUCGACUGAAAUGUUUCUCUUGAUCUUAAAAAUCUUUUGAUCUGAAGGUGUGUGAUUAAAUGUUUGAAAUCGAUGUUGUAGACAAAAAUAUAAUCGUGACAACGUAUUCAUUUCCUUCAUUAGAAAACUAACAUUUUAUUUACAAAAAAAUAUUUUUUUAAAUGGAUGACUCGGAGCAAAAUAUUCCAAAAAGCAGUCAGUAAGAGUCCAGCGUAGGUGGGAACUCCUUUAAUACUGUUUAAAAAGCAUCUGAGGGAAAUUCCUCAAGAAUUUCCCUGGAAAUUCUAGGCAAAAAGGGUGUCUACUUUGAAGAUUCUGAAGUACUAAAUUAUUUUGAUUUAUUUAUUUUUGCAACAUAAUUCCCAUAGUUCCACUUGUGUUACUCCACUUUAUUGACUUUAUUAUUAUUCUAAAAUGUGGGGGGAAAAUAAAGAAUGAGUGUGUCUAAACUUUUAACUGGUAGUGUAUGUAGAGCAGCAUACAUUUUGAAGCAUUUUAAUCAUUUAUCACCUUACACAAGGACAUGCACUUGAACUUAGUUCAAGUUUUGAGCUAGUUUGUCUUUGUUUUUGUUUAUACUCACACAUUUACCUCUUGUUCUUACAGGGAGUAUUGAAGAAAACACCGAAAAAUCCUAGAAUUCCUGGUUCAGCCAUUUAGGAUGUUUCUGAUAUGAAAAAACGAUAUUUAAAUAUAAUGGACACUAAACAGACACAACAUAAUUGAAGUCACCUCUACCACACUCCUACAUCAUCAGCAAACAAUGGCCUUUCUAUACAAACGUCCAUCUGAGAAAGGAUUUAUAAUCAUGCUAAGUAAAACUGAACUGCAGACAUU